GAUUAGGGUGCAGGGCAAGGAAGAUAAGCAUUAGCUGGUUCACCCAUCAGAGCUUAUGCAACCUGAUCCUAUGAUCUUUGUACAAAGACCUUGAUAGUCUAUAGUACAGUAAAUGCCCACAUCCUGCUUGGGAAAGAUGCUGGUGGUAAUAAUGACAACACUGUUCCAGGGAAGCCUCUUGGUUUCCUCAUUACUCCCAGUGGUGGAGACAGCUCUCUCCGAGUUGGCCUUGGAACCUGUGUGCGCUGCCCCAUGGCCAUAUAGGCUCGGAUUGAAUGCUCUACUGUGCUUCCCGUUGUUUGUAGUUCCCUCUGAUGUGGUUAGCAUUGGCUGUCUUGUUCACGUGUUGGGUAAGAAUAGCUUUGCUCAGAAUGAGCUAGCGAGAAAUCCAAAUGCUACUUGUACUUCAUGGAACACCAAAUGCACUCUGAAUCCUUUCUUCUCUUUUCUCUUACUCUUCAAAACUUGGAGAACGGGGUCAUCUUCUCAAGGAAAUCUUUGCAGUGCUCCUUUGUGCUUCUGGGGUGGGUUAGAGGGGCUCCCCACAAACCCUCUUUGUAUUGCUGUCCUCCCACUUACAACACUAUGGAGUAUUUCUCUGUCUGUCUGGUUUGCUGACAGCAGAGGUGUCUGCUCUUUUUUUCCCUCAUCUAUGCAGUACUUGGUUCCUGGAACAGUGCUCAUGAUAUGAGUUCAAUGGAACCAGCCCAUAAUGAACUGGAGACUCUGGUGCUCUAUUUGCUAGAUCCAGGCUCACUGAUUUUCUUUUUUUCUAAUUGUUUUGUUUCGCCAUGUUGAAUACAUAAGCAAUACCUGAAAGCAUUGUUUUUGUAAAACAUUCCGAAAAAAGUAUACAGAGUAUACAGGUCUACGCUAAUUUCCCCCACUCCCUUCCCCAAAGGUGGCCAUUGCUAUCAUCUGGGUUUGUAGUCUCUAGGUUCUCCUCACACUUACCAAUACAUACGUACAUGAAGAAAUCUUCCGUUUUGUUUGGUGAUACUGCAUUUGGCUUUGAUCACAUAACAAUUGCUACAGAGUAAUCCACAGAUUGUGGGUAAGGGAUUAGGCUCAGUUUAAAUAAGAAAGGAAACUAUUAAAGGAUAUUAGCCAGUUCACAGAAUUUGUGGGAGGGCAGCAGGACAGAGCCUGAAGCCACACAAUUAGGAAGGCCCAAAUGCACUAUACGUGUGAGUGACUGAAAGAGGGUUCUGCAGUGGAGACCCCAUUGCCAACACGUCCCAGCCCAGUGUUGCUCGGGGCUGCACUCCCAGGGUUCCUCCAAUGCCAUGCUGAAGCAGCCAGAUACCUCUACCCCACGCUUGCUAGAAAAUCGCUUCACCCCCAGCAAGCUUCACCUCUGUCACCAUCAUGGUCACCUUUCCAUCUUCAAGGGGACCGAGCAAUAGAGCAAUCUGAAGAGAAGAUCAAAUCUUGGGUUGCCAAAGUGAGCCAUGAAAAUGUAAUGGUACAUGUUGGCAAUAACCAGUUAACCAUUAAAUAGAAAAACAGAUAUCAUUCACCAUAGCAACAAGAGCUGUGAAAUAUGUAGGAACACUCCACACAAUUUAAUGUGAUCCUGGCUUUUGGUAUCCAGGUCCCACACGGAGGCAGAGGGGAUAGAGGCAGUGACUGCAGAGUUCGUCCUCCUUUGUUAUUGUGCCAGGAAAGGUGGAAACGUAAUCUGCCUCAGCACCUCUCACAGGCACUAAAAUUUAUGGACAGAAUCAUAAUUAAAAUGACAGGUGUGCUCUUGAAUUAAUUAAAUGCUCACUUUGAUGAAGGAUAUUCUGCAACAUGGAGCUUAUUUCACUAUCUAACCACUCAUGGCGAGUAUCCCUUUACUCUCCUCCACCCCAUUCACACACACACACACAAACACACACAAAGGAGGAGACAGAGAGAGACUGGAACGUGGCUCUUCCAGUGUGAUAAUAUGAAUAAAAUUUCAUAUACACAUAUUUAUUUAUUUAUUCUUUAGGGCCACACCUUUAGCAUGUGGAAGUUUCAGGCUAAGAGUCUAAUCAGAGCUGCAACCGUGGGCCUAUGCCACAGGCACAGCAAUGCCAGAUCCAAGCUGCAUCUGCAACCUACACAGCAGUUUGAGGCAACAGUGGAUCCUUAACCCACUGAGCAAGGGUAGGGAUCAAACCCACAUCUUCAUGGAUACUAGUUGGGUUCUUAACCCCCUGAGCCACAAUAGGAACUCCACAAAUACUGCCUUUUAUAUUAUUGUAAUCUGCAUUUUAUAGGUAGGAAAUGGUGAUUUCUUUAUUAAAUUAAAAUUCUAAACACCCAUACUAUCUCUCUCUGCAAACGUCUCCAAAAACAGUCUUUCUUUCUACUGUUGCCUAAAACUAUACAAUUAGAGAUUGCUUUGUUUGACAUGAAGAUUUGUUGCCUCUUAAAAUGCUAAUCCUUUGAGAGCAUGCCUCCUCAGUGCAAGCCAGUUUAUCAGGUCUUCUGGAAAAUAUGUUGAAUAAAGACUGAAAUGGAGUUCCCUUGUGGUGCAGCAGCUUAAGGAUCCAGCAUUGUCACUGCAGCAGCCCAGGCUGCUGCUGUGAUUUGGGUUCAAUCCCUGGCCUUGGAACUUCCACGUGUCCCAGGCAUGGCCAAAAGAAAGGACAGAGACAAUCAGAAGAAUUUUGGAAAGUGGUGGAUAAAGAAGUUGAUUUUUCUCAGAGCUCCUUAAUCAAAUAUCCAAGCCCAGUAGCAGAAACAAGGUGGGAGAAUGAGAAGGGGGUGGAAAGCAGACUGGGCAGGGUAAAGAUAGAUGCUGAGGUGCUCAGGGCACAAGGACAGAGACACUUAGAGCGCUGCAGCGAAGCCUAGAAACACAGUGCACACACACAGCUAGCUGCACAGCCAUCUCUGAGGCACAGGCCCAGCAGAGCAAGUUUGCAGAUCAGGGGCCUCAUUUUCUCAACUUGUUAGGGACCUCGGCUCUCACUUCCUUCUCGCAGAAAAGUAUUUUCCUCUCCUCCCACUCCUAUUGCCCUCCCAUCACCUGUCCUGUAGUGAGCCUGAAAACAGGGUUGAGGUGGUAGGCCGAGUCCCACAGAGCAGUUUUAUUUACUCAAGCCCUCGGCCACCUGCAGGCCUCUGAUCUAAUCAGGGAAACACAAUUAAAACAAGUUCCUGCAUGAAUAUCAGCGAGGAGCAGCCUCCCUUUGCUCAACACGUUUCUUACCAGGCCUGUUGGAUGGGAGGAGGCCCUCUCUGCUGCAAGUUUCCCAUGUUAAAGUUCUCCAUUUCCUAUUAAGAUUACGCAUUCAAAUCCAAAGCUCCACCAUCGUGUCUGAAAGAAGGAAAUGCUGGUCACACACUUUUAAAUGACAACACUAUAUCUGGGGUACAAAUUAAAAAAAAAAAUAAAACCUAGAACUUUCUCAUAAAAGACACAAUCACAGUAUUCCUUUUUUAUGUUAAAAGCAUUAAUGUGUUAUAUAUAAAUAGGUAUAAUGUGCCAUACUAUUAAAAUCCUGUUCAAACAUUUUUAAUAAUUCUUUUUUGUUUUUUGGCCUUACCCUCAGCAUAAGGAAGUUCCCAGGCCAGGAGUGGAACUUGUGCCACAGCAGCGACCACAGCCAUAGCAGUGAUAAUGCGGGAUCCUUAACUGAGGCUCUCUGGGAAGCCCAGCACGUACUUUGGCUAACUUCACAACUCACUUUUAAAUUAGGAAAGCGGAGUUCCCAUCAUAGCACAGUGGAAACGAAUCUGACUAGGAACCAUGUGGUUGUGAGUUCGAUCCCUGGCCUUGCUCAGUGGGUUAAGGAUCUGGUGUUGCCAUGAGCUGUGGUAUAGAUCGCAGAUACAGCUUGGAUCUGGCGUUGCUGUGGCUGUGGCACAGGCCAGCAGCUGAGGCUCUGAUUUGAGCCCUCGCCUGGGAACCUCCAUAUGUCAUGGGUGCAGC
RNAcentral lists this long non-coding RNA (3910 nucleotides) under Sus scrofa (pig). Its description in RNAcentral is "lncRNA (ENSSSCG00000053428.1, ENSSSCG00110033404.1)". Lineage: Eukaryota; Metazoa; Chordata; Mammalia; Artiodactyla; Suidae. The record is from RNAcentral.